GGAUGUGAGGGCAAUCUGGCUGUGUUCAGUGGAUCUGGUUGGUGAGGCAGAUGUGCCCUUCCUCCCUCACUGCUCCCUGGGUAUCUCUUCCAAAGCUGCAUGCUCAGUCAAAGAGGACAACCUUCUCCGGAAGAGGAGGACCAUUCUUGAGUCCAGGAUAUAAGAGCCACUGUGUUACUGUGCUACAACUUCCAAACAUGCUCUCAAAGGUCUAGCCCACAAGUUUAUAAGGACAAGUUUUAUAUCUUAUACCUGAUGAUAGGCCACUUUGUGAUUGUCACUGUUCAUC
Molecule: unclassified non-coding RNA, 289 nt
Organism: Otolemur garnettii (small-eared galago)
Lineage: Eukaryota; Metazoa; Chordata; Mammalia; Primates; Galagidae
Gene: 7SK
Rfam family: 7SK RNA
About the family: 7SK was discovered as an abundant small nuclear RNA in the mid-70s but a possible function has only recently been suggested. Two independent studies have found that 7SK RNA binds the CDK9/cyclin T complex (known as elongation factor P-TEFb).
Source: Ensembl